This 1509-nucleotide long non-coding RNA is filed under the name Physcomitrium patens. RNAcentral's name for it is "long non-coding RNA (PPAT_LNC002099)". Lineage: Eukaryota; Viridiplantae; Streptophyta; Bryopsida; Funariales; Funariaceae. The record is from RNAcentral.
UAUAUGAUGUAUCUAAAAGAGCGACUUGGGAGGGAAUACCCCUAAAUACCUUGUCUUGUGUGCAAGCCACCCAAGGUCAUUCAAUUCACUUAACGGAAAAUGUGGUGAGUGAGCAACUUUUUUUGAUAAUCCUCAUCCUGGCAAAAGCUAGCGAUGGUAUGCAGCCUAAUAUGACACCUCUUAAAAUGGCUGAAGCCUCGUAUAUUGGAGAGUGGCUCUAUUAUCUAUGAAUUCUGAGUCACCUCAUGAAAGUUGCUCAAUAAUAACGCUUCUCCUUGCUUGAGACGGUUUCAUAUAAGGAAUAUCCACACAAUCAUCCUUAUUAUGUUUGAAGCAGGUGCUGUUUGACUCUGGAGGAACUGCAGAGGAGCUCAUGUCAACGUUAUCAAUGGAGACUCUAUUUACACCCACCUGUAAUCAAAGGCACGUGCAAACUUAUGCUGUAGAUUAAAUGGUUGCCAUGGCUGGCAUGAAUUUGUGACUUCUCUAAGCAGAUUAGACCAGCACUGGAUUCCCAUGCACUGUAGGUACAAACAUACUAAGGAAGACUAAACAUUGGUCCUCACUUUUCAAUGUGCUAAUUCCAAUGCCCCUAAUCAAGGCAAGAUUUGCUCGGCGCUUUCUAUCAUUUGUUAGAAUUUGAUAUCAGUAUUUCGGAAAGUAAGAUAAUAUAUUCUUAGGGAUUAAAAUAAAACUAAACAUACUCAGAAUACAUACUAAUAACCUCUCUUAGCUCUGCUUUAGAGUGUAUAUCAUUUCUCUACGUUAUCCAUUUUUUCAGAGUAUACAAGAUCUUAACAACAUGAUGUGCUACUACAAAAGCAAGCUCCUGCAAUAGGACCUGAUUGUGGAUUGCAAUACUAAUAUCAUCUACUGCAUGUUUGUCCAUGACAGAUUCUUAAAAGAUGUGAAUAUCUUUAAUCUAAAGAUUAUAAAUUGUAAAAAGUUAAAAACAUAAAUAUGUUUUUGGCUGUAACAACAUAACAAAGAAAUUUAGAAUGUAAGUUUCUUGUCAAAAUAAUUUCCUAGAUCUUAAAAAGUUAGUUAUAAUAAAUUUUAGAACAGUAAAUCCAUUUUCUUUAUAUGUAAUUGUGGAAACAUUAUCAUAAAAUAGUAAUACAAGGUUAAGAUUACAAUCUAGUAGUUUUUUAUUGUUAUUUAUUAAGGCUUAUAUAAAAACACAUGCAAAAAUAUUUAUUGACAUUGAUCCAUCAAUUUUACCAAAUACUAAUAAUUUAAAUUAAAAUUCACAUUAUAUUAUAUAUUUUAUUUUUCAUAUAUAAAAUAUAAAAUAUAAAAUUUGAACAAAAUCUAAAAACUAUUCACAAAUUUAAUUUUUUUUUACAAUGGACUGUAAAGUUUUUUUUAAUCUAAAUUAAAAGAUAAUUCAGUUUCUACAAUAGAAAUAUUCGACUAAAAAAUUAAAUAAAAUUUAUCAAUAAACCAUGAUAAUUACUUUUUAUAGCAUUAAUCAAAAACUUGAAAGUCUAGUCAUCUUUUAAGAACCAA